This 463-nucleotide ribosomal RNA is filed under the name uncultured bacterium. RNAcentral's name for it is "bacterial SSU rRNA". It matches the Rfam family "Bacterial small subunit ribosomal RNA", at positions 335 to 795 of the family's 1533-position model. The record is from RNAcentral.
ACUCCUACGGGAGGCAGCAGUAAGGAAUAUUGGUCAAUGGGCGCAAGCCUGAACCAGCCAUGCCGCGUGCAGGAAGACGGCCCUAUGGGUUGUAAACUGCUUUUGUCAGGGAAUAAACCCCCGCUCGUGAGCGGGGCUGAAGGUACCUGAAGAAUAAGCAUCGGCUAACUCCGUGCCAGCAGCCGCGGUAAUACGGAGGAUGCAAGCGUUAUCCGGAUUCAUUGGGUUUAAAGGGUGCGCAGGCGGAUUGGUAAGUCAGGGGUGAAAUCCCACAGCUCAACUGUGGAACUGCCUUUGAUACUGUCAGUCUAGAGUAUAGUUGAAGUUGGCGGAAUGUGUCAUGUAGCGGUGAAAUGCUUAGAUAUGACACAGAACACCGAUCGCGAAGGCAGCUAGCUAAGCUAUAACUGACGCUCAUGCACGAAAGCGUGGGGAUCAAACAGGAUUAGAUACCCUGGUAGUC